Centropristis striata (black sea bass) is the source of this 551-nucleotide long non-coding RNA. RefSeq lists it as uncharacterized. The transcript is spliced from 4 exons. NCBI's taxonomy places the organism in Eukaryota, Metazoa, Chordata, Actinopteri, Perciformes, Serranidae. The record is from RefSeq and is a predicted model, not a curated record.
CAGUCCAUUGAGUUGGCAGCUAUAUUAAAGACUGUUGUUGACCACCACCCUCAAGUUGCUGUAGUAAUUAUUAACAACGCCAAGCCGGAAAAAGUAAAGAAACAGCGUAUAAAGCAUGAAAAGUGGCUCUUAGGGUGGGUGGACGGAGAGCAAAUCCGUCAGGAAACCGGAGAAGAAGAAGAGAGAAAACAAUAAAAAGAAGUAAAAGACGAAACUUUGGCCACCAAAGAGAGAAAAUGGAGAGUCUUCAGAAAUCUAAUUGUUCUUUCAUGUCAGAGGAAACAGCUGACAAGUCAUGGAGCACUGGAAGAAUUUAAGUAUUUAUAUAUGAACUCCUAUAGCAUGAAGAGAACAAGAUGAAACGAGCCCUCUCUGAGGUGACGGGAAGAGCUAUCAGUGAGCACUCGGUCCCUGCAGAUGGAGGAGAAGGGGCCUCUUCUGUCAGGACACGAACACUUUAACGGGACGAACUCAACCAGCUCCAAUUUAUUGAUUUCCACGUUUCCCAUUCAAUUAUGCCUCUGCAUCUGUUAAUAAAAAUCUAUAAAUGC